RNAcentral lists this transfer RNA (72 nucleotides) under Gymnascella citrina. RNAcentral describes it as "tRNA-Ala". It matches the Rfam family "tRNA". From Rfam's summary of the family: Transfer RNA (tRNA) molecules are approximately 80 nucleotides in length. Their secondary structure includes four short double-helical elements and three loops (D, anti-codon, and T loops). Lineage: Eukaryota; Fungi; Ascomycota; Eurotiomycetes; Onygenales; Gymnoascaceae. The record is from RNAcentral.
GGGGCCAUAGUUUAAUUGGUAAAAUAAGCACCUUGCACGUGCCAGCUUCAGGUUCAAUUCCUGAUGGCUCCA